GAACGCGAAGAACCUUACCAGGUCUUGACAUCCCUCUGACCACUCUAGAGAUAGAGUUUUCCUUCGGGACAGAGGUGACAGGUGGUGCAUGGUUGUCGUCAGCUCGUGUCGUGAGAUGUUGGGUUAAGUCCCGCAACGAGCGCAACCCCUAUUGUUAGUUGCCAUCAUUCAGUUGGGCACUCUAGCGAGACUGCCGGUAAUAAACCGGAGGAAGGUGGGGAUGACGUCAAAUCAUCAUGCCCCUUAUGACCUGGGCUACACACGUGCUACAAUGGCUGGUACAACGAGUCGCAAGCCGGUGACGGCAAGCUAAUCUCUUAAAGCCAGUCUCAGUUCGGAUUGUAGGCUGCAACUCGCCUACAUGAAGUCGGAAUCGCUAGUAAUCGCGGAUCAGCACGCCGCGGUGAAUACGUUCCCGGGUCUUGUACACACC
This 433-nucleotide ribosomal RNA is filed under the name uncultured bacterium. RNAcentral's name for it is "bacterial SSU rRNA". It matches the Rfam family "Bacterial small subunit ribosomal RNA", at positions 957 to 1391 of the family's 1533-position model. The record is from RNAcentral.